This 253-nucleotide ribosomal RNA is filed under the name uncultured bacterium. RNAcentral's name for it is "partial 16S ribosomal RNA". It matches the Rfam family "Bacterial small subunit ribosomal RNA", at positions 524 to 776 of the family's 1533-position model. The record is from RNAcentral.
GACGUAGGGCGCGAGCGUUGUCCGGAUUUAUUGGGCGUAAAGAGCUCGUAGGCGGCUUGUCGCGUCGACCGUGAAAACUUGGGGCUCAACCCCAAGCCUGCGGUCGAUACGGGCAGGCUCGAGUUCGGUAGGGGAGACUGGAAUUCCUGGUGUAGCGGUGAAAUGCGCAGAUAUCAAGAGGAACACCGAUGGCGAAGGCAGGUCUCUGGGCCGAUACUGACGCUGAGGAGCGAAAGCGUGGGGAGCGAACAGG